RNAcentral lists this unclassified non-coding RNA (329 nucleotides) under soil metagenome. RNAcentral describes it as "partial contains 5.8S ribosomal RNA, internal transcribed spacer 2, and large subunit ribosomal RNA". The stretch from base 1 to 120 matches the Rfam family "5.8S ribosomal RNA", at positions 35 to 154 of the family's 154-position model. The record is from RNAcentral.
GAUGAAGAAUGCAGCGAAAUGCGAUAAGUAGUGUGAAUUGCAGAAUUCAGUGAAUCAUCGAAUCUUUGAACGCACAUUGCGCCCCUUGGUAUCCCGAGGGGCAUGCCUGUUCGAGCGUCAUUUCACCACUCAAGCCUGGCUUGGUGUUGGGCGACGUCCCCUUUGGGGACGCGCCUCGAAACGCUCGGCGGCGUGGCACCGGCUUUAAGCGUAGCAGAAUCUUUCGCUUUGGAAGUCGGGGCCCCGUCUGCCGGAAGACCUACUCGCAAGGUUGACCUCGGAUCAGGCAGGGAUACCCGCUGAACUUAAGCAUAUCAAUAAGCGGAGGA